UCCUACGGGAGGCAGCAGUAGGGAAUCUUCCGCAAUGGACGAAAGUCUGACGGAGCAACGCCGCGUGAGUGAUGAAGGCUUUCGGAUCGUAAAACUCUGUUGUUAGGGAAGAACAAGUUGGGUAGUAACUGACCCAACCUUGACGGUACCUAACCAGAAAGCCACGGCUAACUACGUGCCAGCAGCCGCGGUAAUACGUAGGUGGCAAGCGUUAUCCGGAAUUAUUGGGCGUAAAGCGCGCGCAGGUGGUUUAAUAAGUCUGAUGUAAAAGGCAGUGGCUCAACCAUUGUGUGCAUUGGAAACUGUUAGACUUGAGUGCAGUAGAGGAGAGUGGAAUUCCAUGUGUAGCGGUGAAAUGCGUAGAUAUAUGAAGGAACACCGGUGGCGAAAGCGGCUCUCUGGACUGUAACUGACACUGAGGCUCGAAAGCGUGGGUAGCAAACAGGAUUAGAUACCCUGGUAGUCCACGCCGUAAACGAUGAGUGCUAGUUGUUUGGGGCUAUCCAGCCCUAAGUGACGCAGCAAACGCAUUAAGCACUCCGCCUGGGGAGUACGGCCGCAAGGCUGAAACUCAAAGGAA
Molecule: ribosomal RNA, 580 nt
Filed under: uncultured bacterium
Lineage: Bacteria
Description: bacterial SSU rRNA
Rfam family: Bacterial small subunit ribosomal RNA
Source: RNAcentral